GUAGACUGAUUUCUCCCUUCACCUCCACUAGUGCCAGGUGGAGGUGGCUGAACUUGUUGAAGGGGAGGAGGUGGAGGAGGAAUAGGACGAUUUGCAACUUGAUCUUUAGGUGGGGGACCAGGAGGUGGAGGUGGCAAAGGGGGUGGUGGUAAUGAUGUAGAUACGGCACUAGCAGGCUUUGGAGGCAUGGGAGGGGGAGGAGGCAAUGGUAAAGAUGCAGGUAAAACAGUGCCAUCUGCUGAACUUGAAUUGCUACCAUCAGGCAGUGGGGGCGGUGGAGGAGGUGGAGGUACAGCUAAUACAUCAUCCUCUGUCUCCAUUGCCGAGGAUGAAGCCGCAGCACUGGAUGAAGCACCAGAUAAAGGAAUUCUUG
Molecule: long non-coding RNA, 373 nt
Filed under: Vigna radiata
Lineage: Eukaryota; Viridiplantae; Streptophyta; Magnoliopsida; Fabales; Fabaceae
Description: long non-coding RNA (VRAD_LNC007264)
Source: RNAcentral